This 492-nucleotide ribosomal RNA is filed under the name uncultured bacterium. RNAcentral's name for it is "partial 16S ribosomal RNA". It matches the Rfam family "Bacterial small subunit ribosomal RNA", at positions 29 to 507 of the family's 1533-position model. The record is from RNAcentral.
AGUGAACGCUGGCGGUAGGCCUAACACAUGCAAGUCGAACGGCAUCACAUUAAGAGCUUGCUCUUACGGGUGGCGAGUGGCGGACGGGUGAGGAAUACAUCGGAAUCUACUUUUUCGUGGGGGAUAACGUAGGGAAACUUACGCUAAUACCGCAUACGUCCUACGGGUGAAAGCAGGGGAUCUUCGGACCUUGCGCGAUUGAAUGAGCCGAUGUCGGAUUAGCUAGUUGGCGGGGUAAAGGCCCACCAAGGCGACGAUCCGUAGCUGGUCUGAGAGGAUGAUCAGACAAACUGGAACUGAGAAACGGUCCAGACGCCUACGGGAGGCAGCAGUGGGGAAUAUUGGACAAUGGGCGCAAGCCUGAUCCAGCAAUACCGCGUGGGUGAAGAAGGCAUUAGGGUUGUAAAGCCCUGUUGUUGGGAAAGAAAAGCAGCAGGUUAAUACCCCGCUGUUCUGAAGGUACCCAAAGAAUAAGCACCGGCUAACUUCGUG